GACCCUUGCUGUUCUUUUUGUGACCAAUUGGAAACAUCUCAACACUUGUUAUUUCUGUAUCAUGUCUCUAGAGUGGUGUGGAGAACUAUUGGUUCUCUACUAGGAACCGAAUGUUGUCCCAAUUCUGUUUGGCAGUACUAUACUUGGGCAUUUAGCUUUAUGCCUGGCUUUGAUAGAUUGUACAUUGUUGGCUUGGCUGCUAUAUGCUAGGCCAUUUGGCUGGCUCGGAACCAAGCCACUUUUGAACACAAAUGGAUUAACACUCCAUUUGAGAUUGUAUUUACAACUUGUGCCUUUUUGAUUUAUUGGGCGGUUUUGCAGAAACCUGAGAUGGGUGAGAUGGUGAAGAGGGGCGCGGGGAUGCUGAAGGAGAAUACCUCCCAGAUGAUGAUGCUAUACGGUCCACCGGCCCCAACCAUAGGCGGGCACGGCGGUAACUGA
RNAcentral lists this ribosomal RNA (441 nucleotides) under Triticum aestivum (bread wheat). RNAcentral's name for it is "partial small subunit ribosomal RNA". Lineage: Eukaryota; Viridiplantae; Streptophyta; Magnoliopsida; Poales; Poaceae. The record is from RNAcentral.